GGUCAGCAUGUUAGGAAUAGGUGUGGUCAGCAUGUUAGGAAUAGGUGUGGUCAGCAUGAUAGGAAUAGGUGUGGUCAGCAUGAUAGGAAUAGGUGUGGUCAGCAUGUUAGGAAUAGGUGUGGUCAGCAUGAUAGGAAUAGGUGUGGUCAGCAUGUUAGGAAUAGGUGUGGUCAGCAUGUUAGGAAUAGGUAUGGUCAGCAUGUUAGGAAUAGGUGUGGUCAGCAUGUUAGGAAUAGGUGUGG
Oncorhynchus keta (chum salmon) is the source of this 242-nucleotide long non-coding RNA. RefSeq lists it as uncharacterized. NCBI's taxonomy places the organism in Eukaryota, Metazoa, Chordata, Actinopteri, Salmoniformes, Salmonidae. The record is from RefSeq and is a predicted model, not a curated record. The transcript is spliced from 3 exons.